UAGCAUAUCAAUAAGCGGAGGAAAAGAAACCAACCGGGAUUGCCUUAGUAACGGCGAGUGAAGCGGCAAAAGCUCAAAUUUGAAAUCUGGUACCUUCGGUGCCCGAGUUGUAAUUUGGAGAGGGCAACUUUGGGGCCGUUCCUUGUCUAUGUUCCUUGGAACAGGACGUCAUAGAGGGUGAGAAUCCCGUGUGGCGAGGAGUGCGGUUCUUUGUAAAGUGCCCUCGAAGAGUCGAGUUGUUUGGGAAUGCAGCUCUAAGUGGGUGGUAAAUUCCAUCUAAAGCUAAAUAUUGGCGAGAGACCGAUAGCGAACAAGUACAGUGAUGGAAAGAUGAAAAGAACUUUGAAAAGAGAGUGAAAAAGUACGUGAAAUUGUUGAAAGGGAAGGGCAUUUGAUCAGACAUGGUGUUUUGUGCCCUCUGCUCCUUGUGGGUAGGGGAAUCUCGCAUUUCACUGGGCCAGCAUCAGUUUUGGUGGCAGGAUAAAUCCAUAGGAAUGUAGCUUGCCUCGGUAAGUAUUAUAGCCUGUUGGGAAUACUGCCAGCUGGGACUGAGGACUGCGACGUAAGUCAAGGAUGCUGGCAUAAUGGUUAUAUGCCGCCCGUCUUGAAACACGGACCAAGGAGUCUAACGUCUAUGCGAGUGUUUGGGUGUAAAACCCAUACGCGUAAUGAAAGUGAACGUAGGUUGGGGCCUCGCAAGAGGUGCACAAUCGACCGAUCCUGAUGUCUUCGGAUGGAUUUGAGUAAGAGCAUAGCUGUUGGGACCCGAAAGAUGGUGAACUAUGCCUGAAUAGGGUGAAGCCAGAGGAAACUCUGGUGGAGGCUCGUAGCGGUUCUGACGUGCAAAUCGAUCGUCGAAUUUGGGUAUAGGGGCGAAAGACUAAUCGAACCAUCUAGUAGCUGGUUCCUGCCGA
RNAcentral lists this ribosomal RNA (914 nucleotides) under Saccharomyces cf. cerevisiae/paradoxus. RNAcentral's name for it is "LSU rRNA". It matches the Rfam family "Eukaryotic large subunit ribosomal RNA", at positions 36 to 964 of the family's 3401-position model. The record is from RNAcentral. Lineage: Eukaryota; Fungi; Ascomycota; Saccharomycetes; Saccharomycetales; Saccharomycetaceae.